AGAUGGCUCAGUGGUUGAGAGCACUGACUGCUCUGCCAGAGGACCUGGGUUCAAUUCCUGGUCU
RNAcentral lists this transfer RNA (64 nucleotides) under Neotoma lepida (desert woodrat). It matches the Rfam family "tRNA", at positions 5 to 66 of the family's 71-position model. Rfam says of the family: Transfer RNA (tRNA) molecules are approximately 80 nucleotides in length. The record is from Rfam by way of RNAcentral. Lineage: Eukaryota; Metazoa; Chordata; Mammalia; Rodentia; Cricetidae.